This is a long non-coding RNA of Uranotaenia lowii, 1064 nucleotides long. RefSeq lists it as uncharacterized. NCBI's taxonomy places the organism in Eukaryota, Metazoa, Arthropoda, Insecta, Diptera, Culicidae. The record is from RefSeq and is a predicted model, not a curated record. The transcript is spliced from 5 exons.
CAGCCGCUUCCGUUGGCUUGUCAUUCGACAAAUAAAAAAGUUCGCGAUUAGUGCGGUGUGCUUUGUCGUCGCGGUUAAGCCAAUCAAGGCCUACUAAAAAUUAAAAGGCAGACCGCUACCUGAUGAAUUUAACGACUGUCGACGACAAAGCCACAGAACGAGAGAAACGUGGUUGAAAAUCUUCCCGAAAGGCACAAAGGCGCCGUGAACAAUCGACCAAAAGGGAAGAUUCACCAGAUAAAGCAACGGAGCAGAGAAAUAGAGUCAAGAACGGCUGAAAGCCAAGUCGUGCAGCCUGCAAAGGUUUCCCAAGCUGUGGGGAAGACGGUCACGAAGAGUUUGGUCACGUUGGGAAUUCGCAGAGUUGGAGGCGAAGUCUCGGAAGAAAACCAACCAAUCAUCCAGAGAAGAAAAAGAAAAUGCGCCAACUAAAUCUGGCUACUGAAACGGCAAAAAGGAAGGAAAAAAUCCCCGAGAGCCCCUUUACAAAAGGGUUCUCUUUUCCCCCUUCUUUUCUUCCUCUAUUUCUCCCAGGAGUUGGUCAUCUGUGUAUGAGUGGAAACCAGUACGCGUGCGGAAACCGGAAAUCACCAGAAAGCAGUUCGACAGUGGUCGAUGGUAAUCAAGAAAUCGGAGGACUUCCGGAAAAGCCUGGAUUCAUCGGUACAAGGCGCCAGGCGGAGAUUCGACAGUGGUCGAGGAGGCCGAAGGGACCGGAAAAGGUUUCCGGAAGAAUCCUGAUUGCAAGGAAAAUUCGCUAAACAAGUGCUCGACAGUGGUCGAGAGAAUCCUGGGAACUGUUCUAAGUUUUCCGGAACGAUCUGGGCAGGAGCUGCAGGGAACCGAGGCCGAUAGCUACCGGUGGAGAACGAUUCGGCCUGGACGCAGGUCAGAGAAUUGUCGUCGAUCGGAGAAGGGAAUCUGCCGCAACCGCAAGUAUGCUGUUAGGACAUCCAAAUUCAAAUUGUUUCUGUGUUCGCCACCCGAGCGGCCUCUGCGAUUUCUGGGUCAACGAUGACCGUCAAAUUCAUCGUCAUUCUUGGGACGAAUCGAGUCCAGAACAU